GGAUUAGAUACCCUGGUAGUCCACGCCGUAAACGAUGAGAACUAGAUGUCGGGAGGGUCUGCCUUUCGGUGUCGCAGCUAACGCGUUAAGUUCUCCGCCUGGGGAGUACGCCGGCAACGGUAAAACUCAAAGGAAUUGACGGGGACCCGCACAAGCGGUGGAGCAUGUGGUUUAAUUCGAUGCAACGCGAAGAACCUUACCUGCCCUUGACAUCCUCAGAACUUGUUAGAGAUAACUUGGUGCCUUCGGGAAUUGAGUGACAGGUGCUGCAUGGCUGUCGUCAGCUCGUGCCG
This 293-nucleotide ribosomal RNA is filed under the name uncultured bacterium. Its description in RNAcentral is "partial 16S ribosomal RNA". It matches the Rfam family "Bacterial small subunit ribosomal RNA", at positions 775 to 1067 of the family's 1533-position model. The record is from RNAcentral.